UCCAGGAUUCAGUAUCUAGCUUGACGAGU
RNAcentral lists this non-coding RNA (29 nucleotides) under Rattus norvegicus (Norway rat). The record is from RNAcentral. Lineage: Eukaryota; Metazoa; Chordata; Mammalia; Rodentia; Muridae.